ACUCCUACGGGAGGCAGCAGUAGGGAAUCUUCCGCAAUGGACGAAAGUCUGACGGAGCAACGCCGCGUGAGUGAGGAAGGCCUUCGGGUCGUAAAGCUCUGUUGUGAGGGAAGAACAAGUACCGGCGUAACUACCGGUACCUUGACGGUACCUCACCAGAAAGCCACGGCUAACUACGUGCCAGCAGCCGCGGUAAUACG
Molecule: ribosomal RNA, 200 nt
Filed under: uncultured bacterium
Lineage: Bacteria
Description: partial 16S ribosomal RNA
Rfam family: Bacterial small subunit ribosomal RNA
Source: RNAcentral